AUAUCAGUCAUGCAUAGCAUAUCAAUAAGCGGAGGAAAAGAAACUAACUAGGAUUCCCUCAGUAACGGCGAGUGAAGCGGGAAGAGCUCAAAUUUGAAAUCUUCAAGGUUCUACCUUGACGAAUUGUAGUUUAUAGAAGUGUUUUCUGUAGUGGAGUUCGGUAAAAGUUCUUUGGAAUAGGACAUCAUAGAGGGUGAGAAUCCCGUAUUUGGUCAUUCCUCCUAGCGUUGUGAUACACUUUCAACGAGUCGGAUUGUUUGGGAAUGCAGUCCAAAAUGGGUGGUAAAUUUCAUCUAAAGCUAAAUAUUGGCGAGAGACCGAUAGCGAACAAGUACCGUGAGGGAAAGAUGAAAAGAACUUUGAAAAGAGAGUUAAACAGUACGUGAAAUUGUCAAAAGGGAAGCGUUUGACACCAGUGUUGUUUUUCCGAAAAUCAAUUACGAAUGUUUUAUUUUUGAGAAGUUAUGACUUCAUCGGCUUGCUUCUCUCUUUAUGAAACUUUCUUAAUGCACUUUUCGGUUAACAAGUCAACAUCAAUUUCUUUUGUUGUAAAAGGGUAUGAGGAAGGUGGCUUUCUUUUCGGAGAAAGUGUUUAUAGCCUUGUACCUCUGCAAUCGGAGAGAUUGAGGUCUGCAGCGUAGAUCCUUCGGGGUUAGAUACAUUUGUGCUAAGUUAUAGCUUUUCAUAGACAACUUGUUGACUAUGUUAGUCAUUGUAGCUUACUCGCUGAUGCUAUUUUACCUACGCUUAGGAUGUUGAUCUCUCACAGUCGAGC
Molecule: ribosomal RNA, 775 nt
Filed under: uncultured Neocallimastigales
Lineage: Eukaryota; Fungi; Neocallimastigomycota; Neocallimastigomycetes; Neocallimastigales
Description: partial large subunit ribosomal RNA
Rfam family: Eukaryotic large subunit ribosomal RNA
Source: RNAcentral